This 440-nucleotide ribosomal RNA is filed under the name uncultured bacterium. Its description in RNAcentral is "partial 16S ribosomal RNA". It matches the Rfam family "Bacterial small subunit ribosomal RNA", at positions 338 to 795 of the family's 1533-position model. The record is from RNAcentral.
CCUACGGGCGGCAGCAGUGGGGAAUAUUGCACAAUGGGGGAAACCCUGAUGCAGCGACGCCGCGUGAGUGAAGCAGUAUUUCGGUAUGUUAAGCUCUUUUAGCCGGGAAGAAAAUGACGGUACCUGAUUAAGAAGCCCCGGCUAACUACGUGCCAGCAGCCGCAGUACUACGUAGGGGGCAAGCGUUAUCCGGAUUUACUGGGUGUAAAGGGAGCGUAGACGGCAGCACAAGUCUGUAGUGAAAUGCCGGGGCUUAACCCCGGAACUGCUUUGGAAACUGUGCAGCUAGAGGGCAGGGGAGGUAAGUGGAAUGCCUAGGGUAGCGGUGAAACGCGGAGAUAUUAGGAGGAACACCAGUGGCGAAGGCGGCUUACUGGACUGUAACUGACGUUGAGGCUCGAAAGCGUGGGGAGCAAACAGGAUUAGAUACCCCUGUAGUC